Anolis carolinensis (green anole) is the source of this 4296-nucleotide long non-coding RNA. RefSeq lists it as uncharacterized. Lineage: Eukaryota; Metazoa; Chordata; Lepidosauria; Squamata; Anolidae. The transcript is spliced from 4 exons. The record is from RefSeq and is a predicted model, not a curated record.
GUUAGGAUUUCUAGGAGUUGAAGGCCAAAAUCAUCUGGGAACCCCGGGUUGAGAACCACUGUUCUAACACAACCAGUUCCUUCUUUGGAGACCUUUAAGCAGAGGCUGGAUGGCUAUUUGUCAGGGGUGCUACAAAUGCAAUUUUCCUGCUUCUUGGCAGGGGGUUAGACUGGAUGGCCCAUGAGGUCUCUUCAAAUUCUAUGAUCCUAGGACCAGAACCUCCUUUGAAAUCUGCCUUUCCUCCAUGACAUCACAAGGACCGACUCCCUAGUUUCCAGGGAAUGGGAUGAUGCUGACGUAGCAACAUGUGAGUGUAAUGGAUCUUGUCUACCUUACAAGGUUGAUAUGUGGCCUACUUCACAGGACUGGAGUGCAGCCAUUUUGUGAGCAGGGCUGAGGGUGCGGCCAUUUUGUAGGCCUUACUUGCAACAGAUCAGCAGAGCAAGGGGGAGGAGCAGUCAAGCAUCCAUUACCAUAUGUGCGAUCUGAUUAGCUAAAUGCAAAUGAGAAGUUAUUUAGCAACUGGAGAUGGGUGGAGACAAAGUGACAAUUGGAAGCCAGAGCAUUCUUUUUCAGUUAAGGCUUUGGAAUCCUUUCAGUGAGCAGUUGCUUUUUCAAAGUCAGUCAGUUAGGAGUUGGCCUUUGGAAUUCAGUCAGUUGGGAACUGUGUUUUAAAAAGAAAGCCUCUUUGAGGAAAUAUAGUUAGAGCCUUUAAGAAGGGAAAGGCUAAGAACUAUAUUGUGAAGUCUAGAGAGUCUAGGAGAAAUGGAGUUAAAAGUAAAUUGUCCUGCUUGUGUUUCCUUAGUAUGUACACAGUAAUCAAGUUAUAUGAACAUCCUUUGAAGUAAACCAUAUGACUUUAAUGAAACUACUAAGCAUCUGUACUGUUCAAUGUUUAUGAAACCAUCACACAGAUUUACUGUUCAAACUACAAAUAAACAACCAUUUAUUGGUUCUUCUCAUACAACGUUUCACAUGUCUCUCUCUCUCUGUCAAAAAUCCUAAUAUAGAAGAGGGUCCUGAAUUGGUGGCAGCAUUCAAUAAAAGUAGUGAGUUCAAAUCCUCUACAUAUUUGGUGACAGCAGAAAUAGAAACCUCUGCAAUUCUGGCAAACUUGAAAAAUCCUCCCUAUUGCAUAUUGUUUUAAAAAAUCUUAUCCAUAUUGAGCAUGGGUGAAUGAAUGUGUCGAUCGAUCAGUAGGUAUCUUAUUCCAAAUUACAUACACUGGAUGUCGAACACAAAUACUCUACCUUUGAGUUUGUCCUAUAUUAAUUAAAAUGGAGAUGAGCUGCGAGAAGGGCUAGGUCGUUUUUUAUAUGCAGUGCAAGGACAGGAAGGAAGGAAGGAAGGAAGGAAGGAAGGAAGGAAGGAAGGAAGGAAGGAAGGAAGGAAGGAAGGAAGGAAGGAAGGAUGUGUUUAAGAGGUUUUUAACUUAAUGGCAACCCUAUCACAGGGUUUUCUUGGCAGAAUUUGUUCAGGAGCUUCCUUUGCCUUACUCUGGGACUGAGAGUGUGAGUAUUGCACAGGGAUUUGAACCAUGUUCUAGUCCAGCAUUCAAAUUACUAGACUAUGGUGACUCUUUCUCAGUCACUCAUAGAAUCAUAGCAUAAUAGACUUAGAAGAGAUCACAUGGGCCAUCUAGUCUAAUCCCUGCCAAGCAGGAAAAGCACAAUCAAAGUACCCCUGACAGGUGGCCAUCUAGCCUCUGUUUAAAAGCCUCCAAGGAAGGAACUUCCACCACACUCCGAGGCAGAGAGGUUCACUGUUGAACAGCUCUCGCAGUCAGGAAGUUCUUCCUAAUCUUCAGGUGAAAUCUCAUUUCCUAUAAUUUGAACCUAUUGCGCUCACUCGCUCUCCCUCCCUCCCUCUCUCUCUCUCUCUCUCUCUCUCACACACACACACACACACACACACAUACACAUGAGGAUGGUGUAAUACUGUGUGUGUGUGUGUGUAUAUAUAUAUGGAGAAGAGUGAGAGAGCACUUUAUGCAUCCUUAGAGGAAGGCAGUGGCAAGCCUUCUCUGAAUAAAUCUUGCAAAAAAAAAAACCCUUUAUGAUAUGGUAAGCAUAAAUCUUCUAUAGGGUAUGUAAUAUAUAUUAUGCAAUAGACUUCUUAAUAAUUAGUCAUGCAUUUAAGGAAGAUCAGGGAUAAAAUACUCAAGACAUUUUGUCAUUUGAACUACUGAGAACUUUUCUCUGUACAUAUAUACCCAUGCUGUGUUAAUUAUAAUAUUUUCCUGUUAUGUUUUUACAAUUUAAACAGUAUGUAGUCCAUAAUUAGUUUCUAAAGUUUCUCUUCUAGAAAACUAACUAUGGAGAAGCAAGUUGUGUUUAAUAUAAGGCUAUGAAAGAAUAACAGGAUAUAAAAUUUGUGUUUCUUAUUAAUAUUUUCUCUAUUUAAAAACUAUAGAAGCAACCCCAGAGCUCAGUUUCUCUACAGUCAAUGCUAUGUGCAAAAGAAGAAGAACUGAAGUAUCUUCGGUUUCUACAGGAAGUCACAGAUGACAUUUUGAUGAGAAGCUGUUAUGGCAAAAAUGUGUUAGGUGAUGUAUUUCAAAUGCACUAUAGAGACAGAAGGUGUGAUCUUGAUGAGGUAAAAAUGCAAAGAAUCUUUCAAGCCCUGAAGCGUGACUUGAACAUCUGCACUCAUUUGCCAGAUUCUUCUGUCAGGUACUCUGGCUUGGAGCCCAAGAAUAGCAGGCUCAAUGCGCCUUAUGUGUAGUCACCAAUUUUCAAGUUGUAAAGGUUCUCUGAAGCAGUAGCAGCAGCAGACAAGUGCAACAGACUUUGUUACAAGUGAAGAGGGUUUACUAUGCAGAGCAUAAUGUAGUACUAAACCUUAGUUCAGCUUAGCUAUUUGCAGAAGCUACCUGUUAAAUUCCAGAUUUUUCAAUGCAGACAUAUUUUCAAGCUUAUGCAUUAAUAGCAAACACUGUGCACUGAUUCUUGCAUUGUGAAAAGAUCAUCACCUAUUCUCAAGGAGGACACUUCAGCAAGACCUGGUGGAAUCUUGACCCCAUUCUGUUCCUGUUUAGUCACAUGUGUGCUGGUUUUCAUCUGUGAAAUGCAAUAAGGGGAUUGCAAUGUUGAUACUUGAAGACCUACUAAUUUUGAGGAUUAAGGAGUAUUUGUUUCAAAGAAAGAAAAGCAAAAUGUCUACCAAGAAACUAAGGUACAUAGCAUAAGGUUUGGCAGCAAUGUCUGUAUGGUUUGCCCCGUAAUCUCAGCAGAGGUGAGCAACUUCUGAGCAAUGAGGGAUUGUUGUACUGAAAUCUUCCUAAGUACUGUUGGAUGUCCCUCUGCCACCAGAAUUUGGCAGCCACUGAGAUUUCCACUGCUUUUGUGGUUACCAUCAAAUUUUGUUAAGGUGGUUCUUCCGUAUCAUAAAAUCCUAUGGAUUGAUAGGGCAAACCUCUUUCUUCUGGAAAAGAAAGGAAAGGGGGAACUGUUUAUUAUUGCAAUGGUGGCAGUUUUCAGCAGAUGGAAAUAGACAAUGUAACUUUCAACUGGUGGAAUGGAGGAACACUGGGAAACAAGAAAAUGGAAAAUCAACAGGAAGGGUGGAAUUGAGUUUCCUGUUAAAAGGGCAUGACUGUCAUUUUGACCCAAUCCUAUGUUGCACAUAAGAAGAUAUCAGUCCGGUCAAAUGCAAUAGACACACAAACAAGAGGAAAAGGAACAAAAAUCUUUACUCUUGUCAGCUGAGAUACAAAAACAAAUAGCUCAGCAAACUUACAUAGUCCUUGUAAGUUGCACAGAGUGAGGCUUCUACAUGCAAAAGAUUAGAACAUAAAACAAAUAGCUAUUCCAUCAUAGCAAAGAGCAUAGCUGUUAAGUCAUUAUUAACUCAGCAUCUCCAAACUGUAUUCUAACAUCCAUACAGUUAUAUCCCACCAGGUGUGGUCCAAGCUUGCAUGCUGACCUACAUCAGCAGCUGCUCAUAAUAAUUAACACCAUAAGGUUUUCUUUAACACACACAGAUAUACCUGAUCCUGUUACUACUUACUGUAACAUCCUAUUGGUCAAAGUAAGAUGGUUACUUGCAAAUCGAGGAACUAAAACUCUCUGUGCUGUCUCAUCCUUGAAUAUAAUGUUUCCAUUCUGAGAGAAGAUACCUUUUUUCUGGGUCAACCAAAUGAACUAAUAUGUACAUUAAUCAAAGGUCUGGAAUUACUGAACACACAAGAAGCAGCUGAAAAUGAACUCAAUGUAUUCUAAAUUAACAGAAGUGUUGAAAAUUCCAAAAUGUAAAUGUAGCUAAAUUUAAUUAAAACUUAUGUUCAAGGCAAUGAAA